Long non-coding RNA from Daphnia pulicaria, 328 nucleotides. RefSeq lists it as uncharacterized. Lineage: Eukaryota; Metazoa; Arthropoda; Branchiopoda; Diplostraca; Daphniidae. The record is from RefSeq and is a predicted model, not a curated record. The transcript has 3 exons.
UUUUCAUCAUGAACAUUUCUUUGAUGUGCUUCUUAGAAAAGAGCAGGCAAGAUCCCCACGCCCCACGGACAUCCUCGAGCUAAUGCUGAAUUUUGUCCAUGACAGAAGAGGGACUUCCAUAAUGCUCCAUCCUUAUCUUCAAGACGUACGCUCAUCCAGCUUCACUGCUUCAGUGCUUCUUAUGCUGCAAAAAAAACUUUUCUUGCUUCACUGGCGAAGCUGGAUAACUUCAGCAGUUGCUGUUACACACCUGCAGUUACUCACCACGGGAUUAUGGCCAGGUUAUGCAGAAGAGACGUCGAGAAGAUGGACACCAAAACAUCGCCGG